This 497-nucleotide ribosomal RNA is filed under the name uncultured bacterium. RNAcentral describes it as "partial 16S ribosomal RNA". It matches the Rfam family "Bacterial small subunit ribosomal RNA", at positions 28 to 507 of the family's 1533-position model. The record is from RNAcentral.
GAUGAACGCUGGCGGCGUGCCUAAUACAUGCCAGUCGAGCGAACGGACGAGAAGCUUGCUUCUCUGAUGUUAGCGGCGGACGGGUGAGUAACACGUGGAUAACCUACCUAUAAGACUGGGAUAACUUCGGGAAACCGUAGCUAAUACCGGAUAAUAUUUUGAACCGCAUGGUUCAAAAGUGAAAGACGGUCUUGCUGUCACUUAUAGAUGGAUCCGCGCUGCAUUAGCUAGUUGGUAAGGUAACGGCUUACCAAGGCAACGAUGCAUAGCCGACCUGAGGGGGUGAUCGGCCACACUGGAACUGAGACACGGUCCAGACUCCUACGGGAGGCAGCAGUAGGGAAUCUUCCGCAAUGGGCGAAAGCCUGACGGAGCAACGCCGCGUGAGUGAUGAAGGUCUUCGGAUCGUAAAACUCUGUUAUUAGGGAAGAACAUAUGUGUAAGUAACUGUGCACAUCUUGACGGUACCUAAUCAGAAAGCCACGGCUAACUACGUG